This is a long non-coding RNA of Bactrocera neohumeralis, 2600 nucleotides long. RefSeq lists it as uncharacterized. The transcript has 2 exons. The record is from RefSeq and is a predicted model, not a curated record. Lineage: Eukaryota; Metazoa; Arthropoda; Insecta; Diptera; Tephritidae.
UGGAAUGAUGAGCUGUACGAGAUAUACGAUGACAUUGACAUAGUUCAGCGAAUUAAAAGACAGCGGCUAGGCUGGCUAGGUUAUGUUGUCCGAAUGGAUGAAAACACUCCAGCUCUGAAAGUAUUCAACCCCGGCCAAUUAGUGCCACGUAGCAAAAAGAAGAAACGACUAGCGCACUAUUAUUAAUUCGACUAUAAUCGCGUAUGCGGUGUCUAUGCCAGUAAAGAAGAAGAAUAUAUCAUGAAGUUCUUAGUACAAAAUACGAAAAACGGAAGAAAUUCGGAACUUAAUUGAAAAAGAUGGUAUCUGAAAAAUACUCCAUUUCGAUCGGAGGAGCAAGAAAGGUCUUUCAAAACUUCAAGAAUCCCUGAAAUUUCAACGAUGGAGUUGAUCGAAAGUUUUGGUUUGAAUGUUUCCAUUUGUACAAGGCAAAGGAAACUACAAACAUCCGAAUAGAAAAAAAAACUUGAGUUUGCAAAACAAUAUCUAAAUAUGCAAACAUUUUGGGAUAAAAUAAUUUGGUCUGAUGAAUCCUAAUUCGAGCUUAGGAGUUCAAAUAAUUGCUAUCGAAUGUGGUGUAAACCUUCAGAUCGCUUAAAACCGCAGUGCAUACAGUGAAGCAGGGAGAAGGUCCCCUCAUAGUUUCGGGCUGUUAUAAUAUUCUAAUAUUUGAUAUAGAUAGUUUAGUUAAAAUCUUCGUCCAUUGAUUUUAUAUUUUGACAUUCUUAGCGAAAAUUUUACAAUAAGUGCGCAUAAAAUCAAUUAAGGGUCGUUUAUAUUGGUUGUCAAAAAAGUCUUGCGGUAUUUUCGCUAGUUGGCGCUGAAAGCGCGUAGUUCUAGUUUUAUUCGUCGCAUCGGGUCAUGUUAUACCUCUUUGGAAAGCUCAUUUCACGCGCCAACACGUGUUUGAUUGAUUGUCGUUUCCUUUAAGUCAUUCGUGAGUUAUAGCGUCGCAAACAUGGAGCAAAAUAAAGAGAAAAUACGGCAUAUUUUACAGUACUACUACGAUAAAGGUAAAAAUGCAUCUCAAGCCGCCAAUAAAAUUUGUGCAGUUUAUGGACCCGAUACAGUUUCCAUUUCCACCGCACAAUGAUGGUUUCAACGUUUUCGUUCUGGUCGAAGAUGCGCCACGCUCAGGAAGGCCUGUCGUCGAAAAUUGCGAUAAAAUCGCUUAAUUGGUCGAAAGAGACCGGCAUAGUAGCAGCCGUAGCAUCGGUCAAAAGCUGGGCAUGAGUCAUCAAAAAUUCAUUUCAAUUUCAAUAAAAAAAAAAUCAAUAAAAAUACCGCAAGACUUUUUUGACAACCCAUUAUUCCAACAACAUAACGACUCCAAACACACAUCUUGUCUAGCCAUUUUGCUUUUUUGAAGAAAGUUCAAUCGAAAAACUGAACUGGUCAGCUCAGUCACCGGAUUUAAAUCCAAUUAAGCAUUUGUGGUCAAUAUUUUUUUAGAAAAUUUGUAAUGCAGAACAAAGUUAUUCCCACCUUACUAAAUUUACUUUCAAACCAAACGUUUUGUAUUUUUUCAAAAAUAUACUUUCACUUGACUAUCUUUGUUUAAGAGUUCUUACUUUGAAGUGAAACAAAACUUUUUCUUAUAUUCCUGGAAAAGAUAUAACAAUUUAUAAUUUGUUAGAAUACCUAUAUAUCUAUAUAUUAUUGUAUGCAUUACUAACUAUUUAUUAUAAUAAAUCUGCAUUGAAAUGACAUCUGUAAAAUUUAUAUGUACUUUCAUUUGAUGCCUAGUGUAUAUACACGUACAUAUGCAAAUAAACAAUUAUAAAUAUGUGUGUUGGUGUGGCAAAUUUGCUUUGCGUUAAUUAUCAAGAAGCAAACAACAACAAAUUAAAAUCAUUAACUCUAUACAUAAAUGCAUAACUAUAUAUAAACAAACAACUGGUUGAAGGCAAAAUCAAAGUCGGUUAUAAGUAUAUGCUUACAACCACAUAUACAGACAUGCACACAUAUACAUACAUACCCACAUGUAAUUACAUGAAAACAAACAGACCACCAUCUUUUCAAAGCGUUAAAGCCAUUUUUACAUUGUAUACAAACAUUUUUCUCUCAAAUGUAUAUGAAACUCAAAACAAUUCCAUAUAAUCAAACUAAUUAAUGAAAUAUCUUCAAUGUAUUUAAUAAGCAGUUGCAUAUGCAUUUAAUAAAUACAACAAAAUAUCAGCUGUUACAACAAAAAUGUUAAUUCGAUUAAAAAAACAAAAAAAACUUGAUUGAAUUGAUAUUUAAAUAUAGUUCGCUAAAAGUUUAAAAAAUAAAAACAUAGUAACUUAAUUAAUAUAUUUAACAACUUAUAGUUAUAUACAAAGGCAUAUAAAGUAAGUACUUACAAUAAAUAUUGAUUAUGUAAUUAAAAGAAAAUAUUUACUUGGAAAUGAAAUACAGGACAAUAAAUGCAUACACUGCUAAGUAAAAAAAUAAAACAACAAAAACAAAAAAUAUUAGCAUAAGUAAAGCAAAUGUAACGAGCGACAAGAACAAAUAAAUAAGUAAUUUACAAACAUUUAAAAUUAAUAUCAAUAAACAACAACAAUUUAUCAAAUAAAAUUAAAAGAACAAAAUAUAAGAAUUGAAAUUGAUGAGAA